CCUACGGGGGGCAGCAGUGGGGAAUAUUGGACAAUGGGCGAAAGCCUGAUCCAGCCAUGCCGCGUGUGUGAAGAAGGCCUUCGGGUUGUAAAGCACUUUCAGUGGGGAAGAAAGCCUUGGGGCUAAUACCCUCGAGGAAGGACAUCACCCACAGAAGAAGCACCGGCUAACUCCGUGCCAGCAGCCGCGGUAAUACGGAGGGUGCGAGCGUUAAUCGGAAUUACUGGGCGUAAAGCGCGCGUAGGCGGUCUGAUAAGCCGGUUGUGAAAUCCCCGGGCUCAACCUGGGAACGGCAUCCGGAACUGUCAGGCUAGAGUGCAGGAGAGGAAGGUAGAAUUCCCGGUGUAGCAGUGAAAUGCGUAGAGAUCGGGAGGAAUACCAGUGGCGAAGGCGGCCUUCUGGACUGACACUGACGCUGAGGUGCGAAAGCGUGGGUAGCAAACAGGAUUAGAUACCCCGGUAGUC
RNAcentral lists this ribosomal RNA (465 nucleotides) under Vreelandella stevensii. RNAcentral describes it as "partial 16S ribosomal RNA". It matches the Rfam family "Bacterial small subunit ribosomal RNA", at positions 338 to 795 of the family's 1533-position model. The record is from RNAcentral. Lineage: Bacteria; Pseudomonadati; Pseudomonadota; Gammaproteobacteria; Oceanospirillales; Halomonadaceae.